UACGUAGGUGGCAAGCGUUGUCCGGAUUUAUUGGGUUUAAAGGGUGCGUAGGUGGCUAACUAAGUCAGUGGUGAAAUAUCUCAGCUUAACUGAGAGGGUGCCAUUGAUACUGGAUAGCUUGAGUACAGAUGAGGUAGGCGGAAUUGACGGUGUAGCGGUGAAAUGCAUAGAUAUCGUCAAGAACACCGAUAGCGAAGGCAGCUUACCAAGCUGUAACUGACACUGAGGCACGAAAGUGUGGGGAUCAAACAGG
Molecule: ribosomal RNA, 253 nt
Filed under: uncultured bacterium
Lineage: Bacteria
Description: partial 16S ribosomal RNA
Rfam family: Bacterial small subunit ribosomal RNA
Source: RNAcentral